This 509-nucleotide long non-coding RNA is filed under the name Chinchilla lanigera (long-tailed chinchilla). RNAcentral's name for it is "lncRNA (ENSCLAG00000026293.1)". Lineage: Eukaryota; Metazoa; Chordata; Mammalia; Rodentia; Chinchillidae. The record is from RNAcentral.
AGGUUAUAGAUGGUCUAUGUGCUGCCGUAGGAGCGAGGAGAAAGCUAAGGCAAUGUGGCCGAGGAGAGCAGUUUCCACCGUGUGGUGAGGAUGGAACACAGAGCCCAGGGAGGUCAGAGGCCCCGGGCCAGGGGACGUGAGGAUUCUAGUGCCCGCUUCUGCAGGAGCCACACCGCACCGCACAGCACCGCACCUGUCUUCCCCUCGGGUCCUGCUCUCUGCGGGGCUGGGGAGGAGGCUGUGGUAAGGGAAGGAACCCGGGUGGGAAGGAGCAGGUGGUUGGGAGCAGCGGGAGGGGCGGGGAGGGGGACGAAGCCGUGGCAUUCCCAGAACGCGGAGGCUGGAGGGGAAAGCGGUGGCCCAUCCAGCCGGCUCCCUAGGCAAGGUCAGCUCCACACUCCCACCCCGGCCGCUGCCCGAGGGAGGCCGCUUCAAAUCACUCAUACUUGGAGGAUCGAUGAGAGUUCGAGGCUAGCCUGGGCUAUAUAGUAAGUGCAAGCCAACCUGUG